UUAGAGGUGAUUGCCAAGUUAGGUUUUGUUGAGCCAACACCAAUACAGGCACAAGGGUGGCCAAUGGCCCUUAAGGGUAGAGAUUUAAUUGGCAUUGCAGAAACGGGUUCUGGUAAGACUUUGGCAUACUUGCUGCCAGCAUUGGUGCAUGUCAGUGCACAACCUCGAUUGGUACAAGGUGAGGGACCAAUUGUGUUAGUAUUAGCUCCUACAAGAGAAUUGGCUGUUCAAAUCCAAGAAGAAGCUAUAAAGUUUGGUUCACAUGCUAAUAUUAGGAGUACUUGCAUAUAUGGUGGUGCUCCCAAAGGACCUCAAAUUCGUGAUCUUCAAAGAGGUGUUGAGAUUGUGAUUGCUACUCCUGGACGACUAAUAGAUAUGUUAGAAGCUCAACAUACAAACCUGCGAAGAGUCACCUACCUUGUGUUGGAUGAGGCUGAUCGGAUGUUGGACAUGGGAUUUGAGCCUCAGAUUCGGAAAAUUUUAUCUCAAGUAUGUUUCUAUCUCAUAACUUUCUCUUUUUAAUAUGAUGGCCUUAUCAUUGCUUAGUAUUUCCGCGGGGUAUAUUUCAACUAUCAGUACACUGUCAUCUUCUUACUGUAAUCAAAUAAGUGCUUAGUUGCUUUAUAUAUUUUCUAAUUGGCUUAUAGCUCUCAAGUUAUAUAACUAGCUAUGUGGAAGCCUUUUUUUUGUCCCUUCUAUUUUAACCUCUUAAUCUAAAGGAUAUGAUUUUUAGCUCAAUAGUUGUUGAUAUACCAAAUAUUCAUGGAUUCAGUUGUCUGUCUGGUAUCUUAGACGAAUCAUUACCUUAUUUUUGAAAUCAAUGCACUUGUCACUUGUUGUUUAAAUUGCAUUAUUAGCUUGAAUGCAGUAUACUUUUCCCUGCAGUUGCACAAGUGCAUUAGGAGAUUUUACUUGAUUUUCCUGACAUAUAUUUGUCCAACUAAUUUGUUUGUAGAUGAUAUUUAUUGUGUUUGUGCUAAUUAGUUUGGAUUUUCUUAUUGGAAUUUCAUAAAAUUAAAAAAAAAAUUAAGGAUUUUUUACUCUGAAUGUGAGAGGGGGUAUUUUUGUUUUAGAUCCGGCCAGAUAGACAGACUUUGUAUUGGAGUGCCACGUGGCCAAGGGAGGUUGAAACUUUAGCAAGACAGUUUCUGCGCAAUCCAUACAAGGUAAUCAUUGGCUCAGCCGAUUUGAAAGCAAAUCAAUCAAUAAACCAAGUUGUUGAAGUUUUGACAGAGGUGGAGAAGUACAACAGACUGAUCAAACUUCUAAAAGAAGUGAUGGAUGGGAGUCGAAUUCUAAUAUUCAUGGAGACCAAAAAAGGCUGUGACCAAGUUACGAGGCAGUUGAGAAUGGAUGGAUGGCCAGCCCUAUCCAUCCAUGGUGAUAAAAAUCAAGCUGAAAGGGAUUGGGUCCUAUCUGAGUUCAAAAGUGGCAGAAGUCCUAUAAUGACUGCCACUGAUGUUGCUGCACGGGGUCUUGGUAGGAUCAUUGUGUGAUAGGAGUGUUACUUCAUUUUGCUUAGGUCUUGAAAUUUUAAGAUAAAAAGAGUCGGCCGGCUGCUAUCCAGUUUCCUGAGAAUAUAAUUUGUGGUAUGGGUGCAAAGGGAGAUGCCAUUAUGCAGAUGAUUGACAAAUUGUUUUGUAUUAACCUGUAAGCAAGAUUUUUUUACUUCUAAGGGAUUUGCCAAUUGGAUUGAGAGGCAUAUCAGUUUCUCAUAUUCACUAUAAUAUCCCAUGAAAUAGCCUGCUUGGUUACUACCUUACUCUUACAGCUCAUGUUACAUGGACAUAAGGAGCGGUGCCUAUUGAUAUAGUUGGGACAGCAGUUUAAGAAUUUUCAGGGCUGACAAUAUAUCAUGAAGAUAGCAGUACAUUCUGUAGGUUGGGAAUGUGGCAUUUUGUUUUUCCUUUUUCUUUUGGGUGGGGUAUGAAUAUGAUAAUUUGGAAAUCUAGUUUCAUGUGCUGCUGUAAUUUGAAUGAAUUGCCUAACAUUGCCUAACAUGGCAUGGCUCCAAGCAUCAGGUGUCUAAGUAACAUGGUUGAAGGCAGUGUCCCCAUCCACGAUUAUGGAGCUGGUUUGUCUCGGCAGCCGGGUUGACUCUCACAUGCUUAUAAAUUGAUUGGAUACAGUUGUGGUGAUUGGUAUUGAAGCUGCUCCUUAUCCCUGCAAGGUUAAGGUGGGCACUCUUAUCUGAUGAAUCUGUUGUCUUAAGUUGGCUCAGAUCUUAGGAGUGCAGGGAUAAGGGAAUGUUUGUGUUUUAGGACUAAAUAAGGCUAGUCAUACUAACUGAAAGACUGCACAAGCUUGGCUUGCUCAUCCAUAUAGGAUUUUGAAAGAUUUUUAUUUAUUUGAUCUAGUGUUAAGCUUGAGUAGGUUGAUUCUUUCACAAUGAAAAACAUGAUAGCUGAGUAAUCUUUUGUUCAAGGUUUGCUAUCUUAAUGAUGGUCUCAGGUGGAAUGAGCCAAUCUUGAGAGUUUUGUUGUCUUGGAGCCUUGAAUUAUGACACAAUACUUCUAUGAAUCUUAUGCAUUAUUGUUUGUUGGCUUGAUAUCUAUUUCUGUUGGUUGUAGAUGUGAAGGACAUAAAGUGUGUGAUCAACUAUGAUUUUCCUUCCAGCCUUGAGGAUUAUG
Molecule: unclassified non-coding RNA, 2630 nt
Filed under: Hevea brasiliensis (rubber tree)
Lineage: Eukaryota; Viridiplantae; Streptophyta; Magnoliopsida; Malpighiales; Euphorbiaceae
Source: RNAcentral